UACGUAGGGAGCAAGCGUUGUCCGGAUUUAUUGGGCGUAAAGCGCACGCAGGCGGUUUAGUCAGUCUCUACUGACAGUGUCCGGCUCAACCGGGCAAGUGGUAGGGAAACUGCUAAACUUGAGGGCUUCAGAGGGAUGGGGAACUCCAGGUGGAGUGGUGAAAUGCGUAGAUAUCGGGAGGAACACCAGUGGCGAAGGCGGUUGCCUGGGGCUGUGCUGACGCUGAUGCGCGAAAGCGUGGGGAGCGAUCCGG
This 253-nucleotide ribosomal RNA is filed under the name uncultured bacterium. RNAcentral's name for it is "partial 16S ribosomal RNA". It matches the Rfam family "Bacterial small subunit ribosomal RNA", at positions 524 to 776 of the family's 1533-position model. The record is from RNAcentral.